AACGCGUGGGAAUCUGCCCUUGGGUACGGAAUAACUCAGAGAAAUUUGUGCUAAUACCGUAUAAUGUCUUCGGACCAAAGAUUUAUCGCCCAAGGAUGAGCCCGCGUAAGAUUAGCUAGUUGGUGGGGUAAAAGCCUACCAAGGCGACGAUCUUUAGCUGGUCUGAGAGGAUGAUCAGCCACACUGGGACUGAGACACGGCCCAGACUCCUACGGGAGGCAGCAGUGGGGAAUAUUGGACAAUGGGCGAAAGCCUGAUCCAGCAAUGCCGCGUGAGUGAUGAAGGCCUUAGGGUUGUAAAGCUCUUUUAUCCGGGAUGAUAAUGACAGUACCGGGAGAAUAAGCUCCGGCUAACUCCGUGCCAGCAGCCGCGGUAAUACGGAGGGAGCUAGCGUUGUUCGGAAUUACUGGGCGUAAAGCGCGCGUAGGCGGUUUUUUAAGUCAGAGGUGAAAGCCCAGUGCUCAACACUGGAACUGCCUUUGAAACUGGAAAACUUGAAUCUUGGAGAGGUCAGUGGAAUUCCGAGUGUAGAGGUGAAAUUCGUAGAUAUUCGGAAG
RNAcentral lists this ribosomal RNA (557 nucleotides) under uncultured bacterium. RNAcentral describes it as "bacterial SSU rRNA". It matches the Rfam family "Bacterial small subunit ribosomal RNA", at positions 112 to 704 of the family's 1533-position model. The record is from RNAcentral.